GAUGAACGCUGGCGGCAUGCCUAAGACAUGCAAGUCGAACGAAGUGGUUUUAUGAAGGAAUGAGUGCUUGCACGAAUUUUGGAUUAAAGUUGCCACUUAGUGGCAGACGGGUGAGUAACACGUGGGUAACCUACCCUGAAGACUGGGAUAACUACUGGAAACGGUAGCUAAUACCGGAUAAUUCAUCUUUAGAUAACUAGAGGUGCUAAAAGGAGCGUAUGCUUCACUUCAGGAUGGGCUUGCGGUGUAUUAGCUAGUUGGUGAGGUAAGAGCUCACCAAGGCGAUGAUAGAUAGGCGGCCUUAACGGGUGGUCGCCCACACUGGGAUUGAGAUACGGCCCAGACUCCUACGGGAGGCAGCAGUCGAGAAUAGUCUACAAUGGCCGGAAGGCUGAUAGUGCGACGCCGCGUGAACGAGGGAGCCCUUCGGGGUGUAAAGUUCUUUUCUAUACGAGCAGUGCUAUAUAUAUGGAUAGUAUAUAUAGAGGGAU
Molecule: ribosomal RNA, 491 nt
Filed under: uncultured bacterium
Lineage: Bacteria
Description: bacterial SSU rRNA
Rfam family: Bacterial small subunit ribosomal RNA
Source: RNAcentral